UGGAGGAUUUUCAAAACAAGGAAAGGUUGAUCCGAACCUAAAAUCGGAGUGUUUUGGGUUUACUUGUACCCGAGAAACAAGUGAUCUAGCUUGGGAUAGCUAGUGUCGGAGUUUCCGACGUUUUGUAUUCGGGUUGAAUACAAAGGAUAGUGGAUUGAAAUUCCCAAGUAGGAUCUUGGGGAGUGGAUGUAGGUGCAAGGUUAGCACCGAACCACUAUAAAUUCUUGUGUUUGUGGUGUGCUUUAUCGCUUUACUUUAUAUCUUUAUUAUAUUCUUGCAUUCCUGCUUUAGGUAAUUAAUAUUGAAUUAAAGUCUUUAUUUUGUUCUUCAUAAGUAAUCAGUUGGGCUUAAAAUUUUUAGAAACCCAAUUCACCCCCCCUCUUGGGUUGCAUAGCUGGGCAACAAUAUACAUCCCUGCUCUAUGUGCAUGGACUUCUAGUGAGACCUUCACUCCUUAGCGAGGGCUAUAGGCCAUUUUCUUUGCAGUAUAGUAUCAUGGCAUCCGAUGGUAUGACAUCUAGUUCCACAAUUAUAAGAACCAAGAUACAUCCUGCACAUCUACAGCACAUUCAGCUUCCAUUGAUCAGUUACUUGGAACCCUUCCAACAUACCGAUCCAUUCAUAACUCAAGAAUACAUACUAAUAUAGACAUUCUACCAUCAGUAUAUCC
Molecule: long non-coding RNA, 670 nt
Filed under: Elaeis guineensis (African oil palm)
Lineage: Eukaryota; Viridiplantae; Streptophyta; Magnoliopsida; Arecales; Arecaceae
Description: long non-coding RNA (EGUI_LNC078920)
Source: RNAcentral